GACGAACGCUGGCGGCGUGCUUAACACAUGCAAGUCGAACGAUGAAGAAGAGAAACGCGAACUUCGGUUCAAAUUUCACUUCGGAUUAGUGGCAGACGGGUGAGUAACGCGUGAGCAACCUACCUCUUACAAAGGGAUAGCCUCGGGAAACCGUGAUUAAUACCAUAUGACACAUUCAUAGGGCAUCUUAAGAAUGUUAAAGCUACGGCGGUAAGAGAUGGGCUCGCGUCCCAUUAGCUAGUUGGUGAGGUAACGGCCCACCAAGGCGACGAUGGGUAACCGGGCUGAGAGGGUGAACGGUCACAUUGGAACUGAGACACGGUCCAAACUCCUACGGGAGGCAGCAGUGGGGAAUAUUGCACAAUGGAGGGAACUCUGAUGCAGCGACGCCGCGUGAGCGAUGAAGGAAUUCGUUUCGUAAAGCUCUGUUCUAUGGGAAGAAAAGGACUGUACCAUAGGAGAAAGCCCCGGCUAAAUACGUG
This 482-nucleotide ribosomal RNA is filed under the name uncultured bacterium. RNAcentral's name for it is "partial 16S ribosomal RNA". It matches the Rfam family "Bacterial small subunit ribosomal RNA", at positions 28 to 507 of the family's 1533-position model. The record is from RNAcentral.